UUUGUCCUACGGGGGGCAGCAGUGGGGAAUAUUGCACAAUGGGGGGAACCCUGAUGCAGCGACGCCGCGUGGUGAAGGAGUACUUCGGUACGUAAAGCCCUAUCAGCAGGAAAGAAAAUGACGGUACCUGACUAAGAAGCCCCGGCUAACUACGUGCCAGCAGCCGCGGUAAUACGUAGGGGGCAAGCGUUAUCCGGAUUUACUGGGUGUAAAGGGAGCGUAGACGGCAUGGCAAGUCAGAUGUGAAAGCCCGGGGCUCAACCCCGGGACUGCAUUUGAAACUGUCAGGCUGGAGUGCAGGAGAG
RNAcentral lists this ribosomal RNA (305 nucleotides) under uncultured bacterium. Its description in RNAcentral is "bacterial SSU rRNA". It matches the Rfam family "Bacterial small subunit ribosomal RNA", at positions 333 to 656 of the family's 1533-position model. The record is from RNAcentral.